UACGUAGGGUGCAAGCGUUGUCCGGAAUUAUUGGGCGUAAAGAGCUCGUAGGUGGUCUAUCACGUCGGAUGUGAAACCCUGGGGCUCAACCUCAGGCCUGCAUUCGAUACGGGCAGACUAGAGUGUGGUAGGGGAGACUGGAAUUCCUGGUGUAGCGGUGAAAUGCGCAGAUAUCAGGAGGAACACCGGUGGCGAAGGCGGGUCUCUGGGUAGUAACUGACGCUGAGGAGCGAAAGCAUGGGUAGCGAACAGG
RNAcentral lists this ribosomal RNA (253 nucleotides) under uncultured bacterium. RNAcentral's name for it is "partial 16S ribosomal RNA". It matches the Rfam family "Bacterial small subunit ribosomal RNA", at positions 524 to 776 of the family's 1533-position model. The record is from RNAcentral.